RNAcentral lists this ribosomal RNA (292 nucleotides) under uncultured bacterium. Its description in RNAcentral is "partial 16S ribosomal RNA". It matches the Rfam family "Bacterial small subunit ribosomal RNA", at positions 505 to 796 of the family's 1533-position model. The record is from RNAcentral.
GUGUCAGCAGCCGCGGUAAUACGAAGGGGGCUAGCGUUGUUCGGAAUUACUGGGCGUAAAGGGCGCGUAGGCGGCCUGUUUAGUCAGAAGUGAAAGCCCCGGGCUCAACCUGGGAAUAGCUUUUGAUACUGGCAGGCUUGAGUUCCGGAGAGGAUGGUGGAAUUCCCAGUGUAGAGGUGAAAUUCGUAGAUAUUGGGAAGAACACCGGUGGCGAAGGCGGCCAUCUGGACGGACACUGACGCUGAGGCGCGAAAGCGUGGGGAGCAAACAGGAUUAGAUACCCUGGUAGUCC